CUAGAUGCUUUAUUCUUCUUUUUUAUGACAGGGUCUCACUGUGUAGGCCUAGCUGGCCUAAAACUCAAUUUGUUGACCAGACUAGCCCCAAAGUCACAGAGAUCCAUCUGCCUCUGCCUCCCAAAUACUGAGGUGGGUUAAAGGUGUGCACCACACACCCUACCAAUCCUAUAAACUUAAACCUGUAACUUAAGUUCUAAAACUCUCUACCAUUAUUUCUUCAAAUACUUUUGUGCUAUAUUCUUUCUCUUUUUCUAGGACUCCAAGUGCCCAUAUGUUAAACUUUUAAAAAUUCUUCCACAGAGAUCCCCACAUGGUGGUGCAAACUUCCAUCCCAGUACUUAGGAGAGUAAAGCAGAAAGAUUCCCAAGUGUGAGGCCACCCUGGACUACAGAGCAAGACCCUGUCUCUAGCUUGGCGUGGUUGUUCAAGCCUUCAAGAGACCCUGUCCAAAAACAAACAAACAAACAAAAACAAAAAAAACCAACCAACAACGAAAAGACUCCAUCUCAAAUAAUAACAGCCAUAACAAAAUACAAAAUAUAGAAUAAAAUAAAUGUGUUCCACAGAGCCCUAGGCUAGGUACUUGUUGUUUGGCUUGCUUGCUUGCUUGCUUGCUUGCUUGCUUGCUUGCUUGCUUGCUUGGUAUUGUUUUCCUGAGGCAGGCAGGGUCUCAGGUAACCCAGGCUGAUCUUAAAUUCUCUACAUAGUAGUAGAUAACUUUGAGCUUCUUAUACCCCUCUCUGUACCUCCCAAGUUCUAAGAUUUCAGGUGUGAACCACUGCAUCUGGUUUUAUAGCGCUGGGAACAGAACCUAAGGCUUUGUGCUUACUAAGCAAGCUCUCUACCAACUGAGCUGUAUCCCUGGCCAGUGUUCCUUUAUUUUGUCCAUCCAUUCUUUUUAUUUGAUAUUUUCUUUAUUUACAUUUCAAAAGCUAUAGCUUUUCCUAGAUUCCCCUCUGAAAACCCCCUAUCCCCUCCCCACUCCCCCUGCUCACCAACCCACCCACUCCUGCUUCCUGGCCCUGGCAUUCCCCUAUACUGGGCAUAGAACCUUCACAGGACCAGGGGCCUCUUAUUGAUGACCGACUAGGCCAUCCUCUGCUACAUAUGCAGCUAGAGCCAUGAGUCCCACCAUGUGUUUUCUUCGGUUGGUGGCUUAGUCCAUUUUUGUCCCUUUGGGUAGAUGCUUAUCCGUCUGCUUUUAGGUCACUCACUUUGUCCUCUUCAUUCUCAUUCUGCUUUUAACCCCAUGUGAAUGUUUUUGUUCAGAUACUGUAUUUUCAAGUUCUAAAAUUUCCAUCUGAUUAUCUUUCAUAUUUUCUGUUCCUCUAUUGACAUUUCUUAUAUUUCUUUUUUAAAUAAUUUAUUAAUUUAUUUUUAUUUCACGUGCAUUCGUGUUUUGCCUGGAUAUGUUUCUGUGUGAAGGUGUUGGAUCCCCUAAACCUGGAGUUACAGGCAGUUGUG
This 1467-nucleotide long non-coding RNA is filed under the name Mus musculus (house mouse). RNAcentral's name for it is "long non-coding RNA chr6:82991644-82993111". The record is from RNAcentral. Lineage: Eukaryota; Metazoa; Chordata; Mammalia; Rodentia; Muridae.